AUGUAUGAUGAUCAAGCAACUGAACUGGAAGCCUUGGAGGGCUUACUGAGUGAUCCAAGUGCAGAGCCCAUCAAGCUAUCAUAUGGACUUUUGAAAUUCAUAACAGGAAAUUUUUCUAAUGAAAUUGGUCGUGGUGGGUUUGGAGUUGUUUACCAGGGAACUUUGCAAAAUGGGGAAGUUGCUGUGAAGAAGAUCUCCAGUGUGCAUGAGUUUUCUGAUAAGGUAUUCAUGGAUGAGAUCAUGUGUUUAAAAAGGGCAAAGCACAAGAAUAUAGUAAGAUUUCUAGGAUACUGUUCAGAAAGUCAGGGGGAAGUGAUGGAAUACAAGGGAACCUAUGUGAUGGCAGAGGUACAGAAAAGGUUACUUUGUUUUGAGUAUGUUCCAAAAGGAAACAUUCAGGACUAUCUUGAAGAGAAACUGGAUGAAAAUGACUGGCUUAUAAGGUACCAAAUAAUAAAGGGAAUCUGUGAGGGUCUGCAUUACCUUCACGAAGAACGUAUCAGCCAUCUAGACCUCAAACCUGAGAAUGUUAUGUUGGAUGCUUUCAUGGAGCCAAAAAUUACGGACUUUGGCUUGGCAAGAUGUUUAGUUGAGGGACAGUCCAAAGUUUAUACUAAGAUUAUCCGGGGAACACCGGGAUAUAUUGCACCAGAAAACAUAAACACGGGAGAAAUAUCAUUGAAGUCAGACAUAUAUGCAUUGGGCAUUAUUAUCAUUAAACUACUUACUGGGCAGAAUGUCAUUGAUUUUGAUAAUUGGUAUGAAUCAAUAGGCUUGGACAGCCCACAAGUGAGGGGUUGCAUCGAAAUAGCUCGAGAUUGUAUCAAAGUUGACCAAGAUAAAAGACCUACUAUUGGUGAAAUAAUUCGUGAGCUGCACAAGAUAGAUAGCAUGAUGACAUAUGACACAGGGUCGUCCACACCCCAGGUAUGA
RNAcentral lists this ribosomal RNA (933 nucleotides) under Triticum aestivum (bread wheat). RNAcentral's name for it is "partial small subunit ribosomal RNA". The record is from RNAcentral. Lineage: Eukaryota; Viridiplantae; Streptophyta; Magnoliopsida; Poales; Poaceae.